Molecule: long non-coding RNA, 1584 nt
Organism: Numida meleagris (helmeted guineafowl)
Lineage: Eukaryota; Metazoa; Chordata; Aves; Galliformes; Numididae
Source: Ensembl
AUGGGAGUAUUCCACAUCACAACAUCAUGUAGAGCACUGGGAGUUAUAGAGUUCACUCUCAACUUCAGUGGAUCGUGGAUAGUCCCAGGUGCCUGGUUAUCAGAAGAGAAGAAGAAACUACAAUUCCCAGAGGAAUUUCAAUAUUCUGUUGCCAUUUUCCAUUUAGAGCGAAAGAUAAAAACUGUUCGCGUAUCACAAGAUGUCCCUUUUUGCCUUCACUUCCCACCAGCUCAUUUUGGCAGCUUCUCACUGCCAGCUCUCUCUCAUUUUAUUAGAUUUAUUAGCUUCAGUUUUAAUUAUAUGUUAUUAUACUGUGCUAUUCUGCAUUCCGAUAUCUUAUUUAGUAAAUUUGUUUCUCCUCAGAUUGUUAUGGCUGUUUUGUUUUUUGCCCAUCUCCCUACCCUUUUUCCCUUUUCCCUUUCCCUGGUCUUGGAUCCGUUGGUCUCUGGCCCCAUUAGUCAUGGAACAGGGCCGAACCUGCCUGUAAACCGUAGACAUAUGGUCAUGCUCCAGGACAUCAAUCUGUUUCUUGCAGUGAGGGGCCCAAAAGUGAAAACCGUACUAAAGGUGUGGCCUCACUGAGACUAAGUGCGUGGCAACAGUCACAUCUCUUUUCCUUUUUGCUACACUCUUUCUGAUAUAAGCCAGGAUGCCACUGGCCUGCUUGGUUACUUAAGCAGACUGGUUGCUCAUGUUCAGUUAAGCAUCCACCAUUCCUUUUCCACUUCCUGCUACUCUGCAUCAAUCCAGUAGCAAUGCCUGGGUUUGAGUCCAAAGUGCAGGACUCAGCACCUGCUCUUGUUGAACAUCGUCCCAUUAGCCUCAGCCCAGUGAUCCAGCCUGUCCAGAUCCAUCUGAAGGGCCUUGAUACCCUCAGGCAGAUCAAUACUUUCCCCCAACUUGGUACAAUUUACAAGCUUACUGAGGGUGCAUCCAAUCCCCUCAGGCAGAUCAUCAAUUAAGAUACUAAACAGGACAGGCCCCAAUACUGACCUUGAAGGAACUCAAUCCAUGAUUUGUCACCAGUUGAAUUUUACUCCAUAGACUUCUUUCUGGACCUUGCCCUUCAGCCACUUCAUUACACAACUAUAAAGAACUGUACAGAAGACGGUACCUGUCCAAGCCACGGUCUGCUAGCUUAUGCAGGAGAAUACUUUGGUAGACAAUGCCAAAGGCUUUUCUAAGUCUAGGUAAACAACAGCAAGAGCCUUUCCUCAUCCACCAGAUGUGUCGGCCAGUCAUGGAAGGAGAUGAGUUUGAUGAAGAAGGAUCUGACUCUCAUAGUAAUCAAUCUGUGCUUUGGAAAUUGAAUAUUCAGCUACUUUCCAGGCUUUUCCAGAGUACUCAUCUAUUGAACAACUCUAUUGAAUUGUUUUAUUGGCUUAUUUGAAAAGGAUUGAGACAGUAGAUUUAUUUUUUCAAUACUUUGUACAGUUUUGGUACUGAAAAAAAUUAUGUGUAAUGGUAGCCUUGAAAAUAAUUACGUGCAUUACAACAAUCAAAUGUAUGAAACAUUCUCAAUGGUUAUGUUAUCAACAUUCUGCUUCUAAUAAACUCAUUGAAAUACUAGAUAUUAUAUUGUCU